RNAcentral lists this ribosomal RNA (400 nucleotides) under uncultured bacterium. RNAcentral describes it as "bacterial SSU rRNA". It matches the Rfam family "Bacterial small subunit ribosomal RNA", at positions 355 to 757 of the family's 1533-position model. The record is from RNAcentral.
UGAGGAAUGUUGCGCAAUGGGGGAAACCCUGACGCAGCAACGCCGCGUGCGGGAUGAAGGCCUUUUAGGUCGUAAACCGCUGUAGCAGGGAAAAAAUAUCCCGUUCGACGGGAUUGAUGGUACCCUGAAAGUAAGCCUCGGCUAACUACGUGCCAGCAGCCGCGGUAAUACGUAGGAGGCAAGCGUUGUCCGGAUUUACUGGGUGUAAAGGGUCCGCAGGCGGACAAGUAAGUCGGGGGUGAAAUCCUGCAGCUUAACUGCAGAACUGCCUUCGAUACUGCCUGUCUUGAAUACGGGAAAGGUGACGGAAUUCCAGGUGUAGCGGUGAAAUGCUUAGAUAUCUGGAAGAACACCGGUUGCGAAGGCUGUUGCCUGGCCCGUUAUUGACGCUCAGGGCGAA